RNAcentral lists this ribosomal RNA (1064 nucleotides) under Pseudomonas aeruginosa. RNAcentral describes it as "bacterial SSU rRNA". It matches the Rfam family "Bacterial small subunit ribosomal RNA", at positions 49 to 1135 of the family's 1533-position model. Lineage: Bacteria; Pseudomonadati; Pseudomonadota; Gammaproteobacteria; Pseudomonadales; Pseudomonadaceae. The record is from RNAcentral.
CUACCAUGCAAGUCGAGCGGAUGAAGGGAGCUUGCUCCUGGAUUCAGCGGCGGACGGGUGAGUAAUGCCUAGGAAUCUGCCUGGUAGUGGGGGAUAACGUCCGGAAACGGGCGCUAAUACCGCAUACGUCCUGAGGGAGAAAGUGGGGGAUCUUCGGACCUCACGCUAUCAGAUGAGCCUAGGUCGGAUUAGCUAGUUGGUGGGGUAAAGGCCUACCAAGGCGACGAUCCGUAACUGGUCUGAGAGGAUGAUCAGUCACACUGGAACUGAGACACGGUCCAGACUCCUACGGGAGGCAGCAGUGGGGAAUAUUGGACAAUGGGCGAAAGCCUGAUCCAGCCAUGCCGCGUGUGUGAAGAAGGUCUUCGGAUUGUAAAGCACUUUAAGUUGGGAGGAAGGGCAGUAAGUUAAUACCUUGCUGUUUUGACGUUACCAACAGAAUAAGCACCGGCUAACUUCGUGCCAGCAGCCGCGGUAAUACGAAGGGUGCAAGCGUUAAUCGGAAUUACUGGGCGUAAAGCGCGCGUAGGUGGUUCAGCAAGUUGGAUGUGAAAUCCCCGGGCUCAACCUGGGAACUGCAUCCAAAACUACUGAGCUAGAGUACGGUAGAGGGUGGUGGAAUUUCCUGUGUAGCGGUGAAAUGCGUAGAUAUAGGAAGGAACACCAGUGGCGAAGGCGACCACCUGGACUGAUACUGACACUGAGGUGCGAAAGCGUGGGGAGCAAACAGGAUUAGAUACCCUGGUAGUCCACGCCGUAAACGAUGUCGACUAGCCGUUGGGAUCCUUGAGAUCUUAGUGGCGCAGCUAACGCGAUAAGUCGACCGCCUGGGGAGUACGGCCGCAAGGUUAAAACUCAAAUGAAUUGACGGGGGCCCGCACAAGCGGGGGAGCAUGUGGUUAAUUCGAAGCACGCGAAGACCUUACCUGGCCUUGACUGCUGAGACUUUCCAGAGAGGAUUGGGUGCUUCGGAACUCAAACCAGGGGCUGAUGGUUUCGCAGCUCGGGCCGGGAAGGUGGGUAAGUCCGAACGAGGCACCUUGUCUUAUUCCAGCCCUCGGGGG